GACGAACGCUGGCGGCGUGCUUAACACAUGCAAGUCGAGCGAUGAAGCACCUUCGGGUGUGAAUUAGCGGCGAACGGGUGAGGAACACGUGAAGAAUCUGCCUUCAACUCUGGGAUAACUCCGGGAAACCGGGGCUAAUACCGGAUAUGAGCCUUGAUCGCAUGAUCGGGGAUGGAAAGUUUUUCGGUUGAAGAUGACUUCGCGGCCUAUCAGGUUGUUGGUGAGGUAAUGGCUCGCCAAGGCGACGACGGGUAGCCGGCCUGAGAGGGCGACCGGCCACACUGGGACUGAGACACGGCCCAGACUCAUACGGGAGGCAGCAGUGGGGAAUAUUGGGCAAUGGAGGAAACUCUGACCCAGCGACGCCGCGUGGGGGAUGAAGGCCUUCGGGUUGUAAACCUCUUUCAGUAGGGAAGAAGCGAAAGUGACGGUACCUACAGAAGAAGCACCGGCUAACUAUGUGCCAGCAGCCGCGGUAA
RNAcentral lists this ribosomal RNA (479 nucleotides) under uncultured bacterium. RNAcentral's name for it is "partial 16S ribosomal RNA". It matches the Rfam family "Bacterial small subunit ribosomal RNA", at positions 28 to 523 of the family's 1533-position model. The record is from RNAcentral.